GAUUAAGUUAUUAAGGGCGCACGGUGGAUGCCUUGGCACUAGAAGCCGAAGAAGGACGUUACUAACGACGAUAUGCUUUGGGGAGCUGUAAGUAAGCGUUGAUCCAGAGAUUUCCGAAUGGGGAAACCCAACAUGAGUUAUGUCAUGUUAUCGAUAUGUGAAUACAUAGCAUAUCAGAAGGCAGACCCGGAGAACUGAAACAUCUUAGUACCCGGAGGAAGAGAAAGAAAAAUCGAUUCCCUGAGUAGCGGCGAGCGAAACGGGAAGAGCCCAAACCAACAAGCUUGCUUGUUGGGGUUGUAGGACACUCUAUACGGAGUUACAAAAGUAUAUAUUAGACGAAUCAUCUGGAAAGUUGAAUCAAAGAAGGUAAUAAUCCUGUAGUCGAAAAUAUAUACUCUCUUGAGUGGAUCCUGAGUACGACGGAGCACGUGAAAUUCCGUCAGAAUCUGGGAGGACCAUCUCCUAAGGCUAAAUACUCUCUAGUGACCGAUAGUGAACCAGUACCGUGAGGGAAAGGUGAAAAGUACCCCGGAAGGGGAGUGAAAGAGAACUUGAAACCGUGUGCUUACAAGUAGUCAGAGCCCGUUAAUGGGUGAUGGCGUGCCUUUUGUAGAAUGAACCGGCGAGUUACGAUUUGAUGCAAGGUUAAGCAGUGAAUGUGGAGCCGUAGCGAAAGCGAGUCUGAAUAGGGCGUUGAGUAUUUGGUCGUAGACCCGAAACCAGGUGAUCUACCCUUGGUCAGGUUGAAGUUCAGGUAACACUGAAUGGAGGACCGAACCGACUUACGUUGAAAAGUGAGCGGAUGAACUGAGGGUAGCGGAGAAAUUCCAAUCGAACCUGGAGAUAGCUGGUUCUCUCCGAAAUAGCUUUAGGGCUAGCCUCAAGUGAUGAUUAUUGGAGGUAGAGCACUGUUUGGACGAGGGGCCCUUCUCGGGUUACCGAAUUCAGACAAACUCCGAAUGCCAAUCAAUUUAACUUGGGAGUCAGAACAUGGGUGAUAAGGUCCGUGUUCGAAAGGGAAACAGCCCAGACCACCAGCUAAGGUCCCAAAAUAUAUGUUAAGUGGAAAAGGAUGUGGCGUUGCCCAGACAACUAGGAUGUUGGCUUAGAAGCAGCCAUCAUUUAAAGAGUGCGUAAUAGCUCACUAGUCGAGUGACACUGCGCCGAAAAUGUACCGGGGCUAAACAUAUUACCGAAGCUGUGGAUUGUCCGUAGGACAAUGGUAGGAGAGCGUUCUAAGGGCGUUGAAGCAUGAUCGCAAGGACAUGUGGAGCGCUUAGAAGUGAGAAUGCCGGUGUGAGUAGCGAAAGACGGGUGAGAAUCCCGUCCACCGAUUGACUAAGGUUUCCAGAGGAAGGCUCGUCCGCUCUGGGUUAGUCGGGUCCUAAGCUGAGGCCGACAGGCGUAGGCGAUGGAUAACAGGUUGAUAUUCCUGUACCACCUAGUAUCGUUUUAAUCGAUGGGGGGACGCAGUAGGAUAGGCGAAGCGUGCUAUUGGAUUGCACGUCCAAGCAGUAAGACUGAGUGUUAGGCAAAUCCGGCACUCGUAAGGUCAAGCUGUGAUGGGGAGAGGAAAUUGUUUCCUCGAGUCGUUGAUUUCACACUGCCAAGAAAAGCCUCUAGAUAGAUAACAGGUGCCCGUACCGCAAACCGACACAGGUAGUCAAGAUGAGAAUUCUAAGGUGAGCGAGCGAACUCUCGUUAAGGAACUCGGCAAAAUGACCCCGUAACUUCGGGAGAAGGGGUGCUCUUUAGGGUUAACGCCCAGAAGAGCCGCAGUGAAUAGGCCCAAGCGACUGUUUAUCAAAAACACAGGUCUCUGCUAAACCGUAAGGUGAUGUAUAGGGGCUGACGCCUGCCCGGUGCUGGAAGGUUAAGAGGAGUAGUUAGCUUCUGCGAAGCUACGAAUCGAAGCCCCAGUAAACGGCGGCCGUAACUAUAACGGUCCUAAGGUAGCGAAAUUCCUUGUCGGGUAAGUUCCGACCCGCACGAAAGGCGUAACGAUUUGGGCACUGUCUCAACGAGAGACUCGGUGAAAUCAUAGUACCUGUGAAGAUGCAGGUUACCCGCGACAGGACGGAAAGACCCCGUGGAGCUUUACUGUAGCCUGAUAUUGAAAUUCGGCACAGCUUGUACAGGAUAGGUAGGAGCCUUUGAAACGUGAGCGCUAGCUUACGUGGAGGCAUUGGUGGGAUACUACCCUAGCUGUGUUGGCUUUCUAACCCGCACCACUUAUCGUGGUGGGAGACAGUGUCAGGUGGGCAGUUUGACUGGGGCGGUCGCCUCCUAAAAGGUAACGGAGGCGCUCAAAGGUUCCCUCAGAAUGGUUGGAAAUCAUUCAUAGAGUGUAAAGGCAUAAGGGAGCUUGACUGCGAGACUUACAAGUCGAGCAGGGUCGAAAGACGGACUUAGUGAUCCGGUGGUUCCGCAUGGAAGGGCCAUCGCUCAACGGAUAAAAGCUACCCCGGGGAUAACAGGCUUAUCUCCCCCAAGAGUUCACAUCGACGGGGAGGUUUGGCACCUCGAUGUCGGCUCAUCGCAUCCUGGGGCUGUAGUCGGUCCCAAGGGUUGGGCUGUUCGCCCAUUAAAGCGGUACGCGAGCUGGGUUCAGAACGUCGUGAGACAGUUCGGUCCCUAUCCGUCGUGGGCGUAGGAAAUUUGAGAGGAGCUGUCCUUAGUACGAGAGGACCGGGAUGGACAUACCUCUGGUGUACCAGUUGUCGUGCCAACGGCAUAGCUGGGUAGUUAUGUAUGGACGGGAUAAGUGCUGAAAGCAUCUAAGCAUGAAGCCCCCCUCAAGAUGAGAUUUCCCAACUUCGGUUAUAAGAUCCCUCAAAGAUGAUGAGGUUAAUAGGUUCGAGGUGGAAGCGUGGUGACACGUGGAGCUGACGAAUACUAAUCGAUCGAAGACUUAAUCAA
Molecule: ribosomal RNA, 2922 nt
Filed under: Staphylococcus pasteuri
Lineage: Bacteria; Bacillati; Bacillota; Bacilli; Caryophanales; Staphylococcaceae
Description: 23S ribosomal RNA
Rfam family: Bacterial large subunit ribosomal RNA
Source: RNAcentral